RNAcentral lists this ribosomal RNA (480 nucleotides) under Triticum aestivum (bread wheat). RNAcentral describes it as "partial small subunit ribosomal RNA". Lineage: Eukaryota; Viridiplantae; Streptophyta; Magnoliopsida; Poales; Poaceae. The record is from RNAcentral.
AUGCGUAUUAUGGCAUGGAAGACGGCGACAGGUGCAUUGGCAACUAAUCUAGGCAAAGCGCAUCGUCGUAUUCAUAUACAGAGAUCAUGUCCUAUUUGUGGAGCGGAGAUUAAAAGCAGUUUUCAUGCAUUGAUUUCAUGCAUGCACGCCCGACGUGUUUGGGAGGGCUUACGUGCAAUCUGGCCCUUGCCUGAUGACUCACUAUUAGUGGACUCUGUUAAGGACUGGAUAGUGCAGCUACUUUCAAAAUGUUCGGACAAGACCAGGGACUUGGUAAUCAUGACGAUCUGGCGUAUUUGGCAACUCCGAAAUGAUAUAACACACGGGAAGAAUGAGACCCCAGUAGAGAUAACUGUGGAUUAUCUUGACAGUUAUUAUAAGUCACUGAAUUUGGUAAGGAACUAUAGCAUGGAGGAAAUCGUCAAAGGGAAGAUGCCGUUGUAUGAGGACAAACGGCCAAAGUGUGUAAAAAUUACAUAA